Molecule: long non-coding RNA, 8651 nt
Filed under: Salvia miltiorrhiza (redroot sage)
Lineage: Eukaryota; Viridiplantae; Streptophyta; Magnoliopsida; Lamiales; Lamiaceae
Description: long non-coding RNA (SMIL_LNC002086)
Source: RNAcentral
AAGCAUUAAGUGAUGCCAAUCAAUUGAUAAUAUUAAAACUCACAGGACCACAUAAGUUUAGUUUCGUGACUCUGAACAUAAUCAACGAUGGCUUCAUUAAUAGAAAUACGAAUUAAGAGUCUAAGCUCAAUAAGAUAAUACUGCACCAUAUAAUAGAAGUUCUUAGUUUACGGAAUUGAAAGAUAAGAUAGCAAGCUAAUCGUUAGCGGAAGCAAAAGACGAAGCAGAACCCUAGCCUCAGCUCAACCCCAUCUGCACCAGCCGAUCAACCUGAAAACAUUUAAAAAUAUUUUGGGCUGAGCACUAGUGUACUCAGUGAACAAGAGUUUACAAGAUAUUUUAUGAAAUAAUUAAAUGGAGCAGUUUAUCCAAUAUCAUAAUCAUAACUCAGAAGGUUUUAAAAAUAGAAAUCCACUUCUAAGUAUGACAAAACUUUUUCUCAUUAAGUGGCGCGCCAUGUGACGUUUGAUUGUUACUCGCUGCUUAUGAUCCCGGACCUCUAGCCACCGACGGAUCGCUUUCUUUUCUCCCAUUUAUCAAUCUCGGGACGCACCCAGUCAGAUCAAUAAUCAUUUCUGUGCUUCGGAACACAUCCAGACAAGCACCCUUAUAACGCCUCUUAGCUUUGUUAGUGCACGAUGGCGAUCAACCCAUCGAGCCACUAACCUUGUGUACACAAUUCUCAUCUAACGUGUUAGGCCAAAUGGGAAUCUCGAUCGAUGCUUAUGCGAGCAUUAAACAAUACAGAACGCACAUAAAAAAAAACAUUUAUAUUGGAUAAACAAGUAACUUUCAUGAAAUAUCAGAGCUUAUAUAACUCAAGAUACAUUUGUAAAAUAAAGCCCACCUCAAAGUGGAGAUUCGAUACUUGGUUCGCUUGAAGCUUCACUGCCCUUGGUCACUCGAACCUACAAGAAAUCUAUUUUUAAAUAGGUCUCGAGGUUUUAUUCUAAUUUCUAGGUAAAGGGAAUUAUUAACUAUUGAUACACUUGCCCAGAUUAAGGAAAUAAAUAUAAUUAAUCAAUAAUAAAAAUAAUAACAAUAAUAAUGAUAAUAAUAAUAAUAAUAAUAAUAAUAAUAAUCCAGAAAUAAAUAACAUAUAUAUAAUAUGAAAUUAAUUAGUGUACAAGACUAGUCCAACAAUUAUUAGGAAUAGUUAGAUCUCUUGAAAAAUAAUUGAGCCAUAGCAUUCAAAUCAAAAUAACCCCCCUUCAAAAAUAAAUCAGCCCAAAGUCUCCAAAGAUUUUCGGCCCAACAGAUUUAAAACCCAUUUAGAGCCCAAUUUGAAAGAAAACCCUAAAAUAAUUAUAAAAAAAAUUCAAUUAAAACAAGAAUGAGGAAUUUCUCUCUCUUCCUUCCAACUCAUCGGCUCUCAAUCUCUCUCACUUCUCACACCCGCCCUCUCUCUCUCUCUCUCUCUCUCUCUCUCUCUCUACGGCGCCUCCUUCCUUCGUCCGUCCGUCUCCCAUCGCAGCAGGCGGUCAUGGAGGACCGCCGCCACUGUUGCUUCGUUCUCGGCUGUGAACGGCAGCGCUUGGCCUUCGGCCACGCCGCCCGGGAUCCUCUCUCCCCCUUCGCGAUUCCAGUCAGCAGCAGUAGCCCAGGAGGGCCGCUACCCCUGCUGCUUCGGCUCCUGUACCGCCUCGCACCACCGCCGUCGUUCAGUCCGUCCCGCCGUCGCUCAGCCACCGAUCGCUGCCGCCUUGUGCCGUCGUCUUCCCCGGUCGGACAUGCAGCCCCAAAAACGAAAAGGACUCUCCCCCCUUCGACUCUCAACAACCCAAACCAAGAUAAGUAAAAAGAUUCAGUUUUGAAAUAACAAUCAAAUCUUUGAGUGUUUUUCUGAUUUUAUUAGAAGCAUGAGUCGUUGUGUGUGUAUGCUUGUUCUUGAUUAAUGAGGUGAAAAGGUCCGAUUAUGACAAGAGAUUUUAGACUAGGAAUUUGCAGAUUGGGUUUAAAGAAAUUUAAGCUACUGUGAGUACUAAGUUUUGGAGGUUCUCUAUUUCUUGUUGCGGUCUAGUUCUUGCUGUGGUUUCAUAUGCAUAAAAAAAAUAAAGAAUUCAAGGAAUCGAAUGGACCUUAAAAGUUGGUGAGGUUGGAGAUGGUCCUGUGUGUGUAGGUUUCUUCUUUUAAUGCUCUGUUGGCUUUCUUUGUCUCCCUGCAGGAGUUCGAAAGAAAAUUUUAAAUAAGUUGUGGAAUUUACAGAAGGGAAUAAGAGCUGCAGAUGUGAAGAUUUACCACCUCAAUGAUUGGAAGAAGGCUGGUGGUUGGGGAGCAAAAAGGAGGAAAGGUUUUUAUGGGAGGGUGAAAGUUGACGUGGAGAUGUAAAAGCAUAGGAAUUGUUAUAUAAAAAUUAAUGUGAAUCGAGCCAUAAACGUGGCUUCCUUUGUUUCACAUAAUUCUAAUAUUAAGUGAUCAUUCUCUUGACCAUUCCAUUCCACACGUUCCAACACAAAAAAAAAAAAUCUGAGUUUCUACUUUGGGCCUAAGCCCAAAUAAAAUCUAAAGAAAGGCUUUCACUUAUGGACCUUUAGCCCAAUAAUAAAAAAAAUCUUUGAAAGAAAAGAAGAAAAAUAAUUAUGAGAUGGGUUUACACUAAAAUCAAAAUAAUUAGUAUAUCUCGUAUAAUUAAGUAAUAAUCACACUUGUUGAUCACCUCAAAAUAAUAUCAUUAAUCUACACUUUAUGAAAUUUAUUUAAUACUGGGCGUGUAUCAAUAUUAUGCUAAUUAAAGGUCCUAUUUCUUAAAAAAAACGGGAUAUCACAUACCUCCCCCCUUAAAAAAAAAUUUCGUCCCCGAAAUUUACAUACUCAUUUUCUAAUUUGGAAUACUAUGUCUUCAUUCUAUCAUUCCACUUCUGUGGCAUUUUCCAUCCUGUGAUGGUCCCACUUUCGUUCAUAGCUAGUGAUUCUUCGUAGCUUUAGCUAUUUUAGAACAACAUAUAUGUUCUAAAACAUCAAUCUCACUAUCAAAUAAUCUCAUAUCAUAAUACUAUAGAUCGUAUGCUAGACACGUAGUUAUACCUGUUAGAUUCUCAUCAUCUUGAGCUUCUUGACACUGGUUUAGGGCAUAAGCCCUAGCUUGGUAUGAUGGCCAUUGAUUGGCUAAGUUUCCCUGCUUCUGAUGUUGCUGGGUUUUUUCGCCGUUCUUCCUUGGGUGUGGGCAUGCCAUUGCAAAGUGCCCAAAUUGUCCGCAGUUGUAACAAACAUUGGACCCCUUCCUGCAUUCACCCGCAUGGGGUUUCUGACACUUCAGACAUAGGGGUUUUUCUCCAAUCAUAGAUUGUUGUUGUGGCUGGUUCUGAUUCCAGUUUUCUGUCCACGGUUUCUUCUCAUUUUCGAAAUCUUUCUCAUUCCAUUUCUGUUUUCCCUUUCCAUUAUUUGGAUAUGACGCGUGUUCAGACUGUGUAGGUGCUUUUUCUUUCUCUUUCGGUAGUAGUGACUCGAUGGUGAGAGCCCUACUUAGUGUUUGUGCAUAAGUGAGACCUCCCUGACUUGCUAGGGAAAUUGAGAUUUCGGGGCGUAACCCGUUUCUGAAUCUCUCUGCUCGUUUUUCGUCAGUGUCCACUAGUUGUGGAGCGUAUCUUGACAAUUGAUUAAAAGCUCGAUCAUACUCUGUGACUGUUCCGUUUCUUUGUUUCAAGUUCCAGAAUUCAUUUUGUUUCUUUUGGCGAUAGCAACCAGGUAUGUAUUUUUCAUAUAACUCUGCCUUAAAGUCGUCCCAAGUGAAAUUCUCCCAUUGCUCAUCGGUCAUAGUUCUUCUUACAGAUUCCCACCAAAAAUCGGCUUCAUCCACGAGUUGAUAGGUGGCGCAUAUUAUCUUUUCCUCAUCUUCACAGCGGAUGUAGUUAAAAAUUCGUUCUAUUGCUCUAAUCCACUUCUCGGCAUCCGUAGGGUCGCCUAAACCAUCAAAUGUAGGUGGCUUCUCCUUGCGGAAUCUUUCCACUGCUGAACGAUUUGGUGCUACUUGUGGUGCAGGCUGCUCCGGGGCAAUUCCUCGUCCUCGUCCUCGUCCACGUCCUCUUGUUGCCAUAUCCAACCUGUAGUUACAGGUUCAUUUGGUUAACAUGACUUAACAAUAUUGUAUGUGAAUCAAUCAUAAAACUAUGCGUGCUACAAGAAAGUAAAUUUGAACAACACGCAUAAAGUUUGAAUAAAUUAAUUAUAUAUAUGCCUCAAGAGAGGACUUCCAUAAUAUUCAAAAUAAUAGUGCAUCUCAAAAGAGUUCUUUUGGUUAAUACUAUUGAACAUCGCCAGAUGUGAACUAAUCAUAAUAACUUGGCGUGUUACGGAAAGAAAAUUUUGAAAAAAAAACACGCAUUAAAGUACGGACAAAAUAUUUAUGUAUCAUAUGCCUCAAAAGAGGACUUUCAUUAUACUCAAUAGGAUAGUGUGUCUCCAAGUGUUUAUUUGAAAUACAUAGGCACAAUAUAUAUGUAUAUAUAUAUCUAGGUAAGGUCUGAGUUAAAUGUAGAAGAAUCUGACCUUACAACCAAAAGGUUAGGUGAUUAUAUCAAGAGAAACGAUAUUCCAACCAAUUAUUACAACUACUAAUCUAAUAACACAGGCGAGCACUUGUUCUCUACUAACUUUUUUGUGAUAGCUUUCUCAAUUUCGUUCUUAGGACCUUCUUUCGAUGUCAAUGGCCUUAGCUUGAUGCUCUUGGUCAGCUGUAGAAAAUCGCCCAUCACUGAUCUUGUGCAUGUGUUGGUUGUCCCUGUUUUUCAUCAUUAAGGUGUCACACAAGUCCCAUCGAUGAUUCGGUAUCUAAUACUUUUCCAUUGCGUGCAUCCGUUUAAAGUGUCGUAAAUUCUCCAAAAGAAAAUUCCUUGAAGAAAUCAUCUGGCUUCUAGAUGUAGUUAUGAAACUUCUCGUCAUAAUGUUCUUGCAAGUACAUUGGAGUGCAAUGCUUAUAGAAUUCCUCGCAUUGUUUGUCCAUCUAGAAAGGAGGACCAAUUACAUUCUAAAAUAAAUAGCGCAAGGCUAAAUCUAACUAAGUUUCUUUCUUCUAUAGGCAUCAUAGGUUCUCUGCGAGCAUUCUAUGUUCUUUAAGAUCUUAUUCUUCAUCGUUCUAGAGUUCUCUAGACAUAAGUCUAGUUCAUAUGGAUCGAAAUUCUCUCAUAACUUUGGCUUAGUGCACCUCUAACUAUGAGGCAAAGCAUACUCUUAUAGGCUCGUAACUUUUGUCGGCUAUUGAGUCAACCUACUUAUAACUGUCAAGUCAAAAAGGUUAUGAAUAACCUAAGUUGACAAAUAUUGCUUAUGCCAUCUGAAACUUUCUCAACGAGAAGUUAAAAUUCAUAACAUAUCUUUAAUCAUAAGUGAUUCGUAGAAUCAAAACAUAAACAACAAAUCUUUUCUCUUUCAAUCAUGCUUAUGUGAGCUCAAGGAGACUCAUCAUAACACAUAAUGUUUUUCUUUUGAAAAUAGAUCAUGUGGACUCGGAGAGUCCCAUCAUGACUACAUACUUUGCUUCUUUUAAGGACUCGCUGGCCCAAAUAUCUUACUCUUCUUUCUUGCAUAAGCAAUAUCUCUUUUCAUAUGUGACAUCAUUAAAGCAUUUCACAAGAUAAUCUUUUGCGCGCACUUCUUCAAAUUAAAUCAUUUAUUUGAAAAUUUUAAAACGUACCUUUGUUGAUCAGGCAGUGAGACGGUGAGCUGAGGGUUACAUAAAUGCUUAGAAGUUUAGAGGUACUAUUCUAGACUCGGAAUAAUUCAACUAGCGGUAGUCAGAGACACGAAAGAAAACUUGUGCUCUGAUACCAUUUGUAACAGCCCGUUCUUAAAAAAAAUAAAAUAUAAUAAAUAAAAGAACUAUUUAGAAUAAAAGAGGUUAAUGAUAUAAAACAAGGUUGUAAUACGAGAAAGAUCCCAAUGAUUCAAAUAGGUUUAUUUCAUAGCUCCUUAGAAAAGAAAAUAGGAAAAUAAAGAGAAAACUUGACUGCACUGAAUAAACUGGCAACUUACCCUUUUAAAUGGGUUAUUCAUAAUUUGAAGAGAUAAAAUGAAAAGCAUUAAGUGAUGCCAAUCAAUUGAUAAUAUUAAAACUCACAGGACCACAUAAGUUUAGUUUCGUGACUCUGAACAUAAUCAACGAUGGCUUCAUUAAUAGAAAUACGAAUUAAGAGUCUAAGCUCAAUAAGAUAAUACUGCACCAUAUAAUAGAAGUUCUUAGUUUACGGAAUUGAAAGAUAAGAUAGCAAGCUAAUCGUUAGCGGAAGCAAAAGACGAAGCAGAACCCUAGCCUCAGCUCAACCCCAUCUGCACCAGCCGAUCAACCUGAAAACAUUUAAAAAUAUUUUGGGCUGAGCACUAGUGUACUCAGUGAACAAGAGUUUACAAGAUAUUUUAUGAAAUAAUUAAAUGGAGCAGUUUAUCCAAUAUCAUAAUCAUAACUCAGAAGGUUUUAAAAAUAGAAAUCCACUUCUAAGUAUGACAAAACUUUUUCUCAUUAAGUGGCGCGCCAUGUGACGUUUGAUUGUUACUCGCUGCUUAUGAUCCCGGACCUCUAGCCACCGACGGAUCGCUUUCUUUUCUCCCAUUUAUCAAUCUCGGGACGCACCCAGUCAGAUCAUAAUCAUAUCUGUGCUUCGGAACACAUCCAGACAAGCACCCUUAUAACGCCUCUUAGCUUUGUUAGUGCACGAUGGCGAUCAACCCAUCGAGCCACUAACCUUGUGUACACAAUCCUCAUCAACGUGUAGGCCAAAUGAGAAUCUCGAUCGAUGCUUAUGCGAGCAUUAAACAAUACAGAACGCACAUAAAAACAUUUAUAUUGGAUAAACAAAUAACUUUCAUGAAAUAUCAGAGCUUAUAUAACUCAAGAUACAUUUGUAAAAUAAAGCCCACCUCAAAAGUGGAGAUUCAAUACUUGCUUGCUAAGCUCCACUGCCCUUGAUCACUCGAACCUACAAGAAAUCUAUUCUUAAAUAGGUCUCGAGGUGCUAUUCUAACUUCUAGAUAAAGGAAUUAUUAACUAUUGAUACACUUGCCCAGAUUAAGGAAUAAACAUAAGUAAUCAAUAAGAAAAAUAAUAACAAAAUAAUGAUAAUAAUAAAAUAAUAAUAAUAAUAAUAUACAGAAAUAAAAAACUAAAUAUAAUAGAAAAUUAAUUAGUGUACAAGACUAGUCCAACAAUUAUUAGGAAUAGUUAGAUCUCUUGAAAAAUAAUUGAGCCAUAGCAUUCAAAUCAAAAUAACCCCCCUUCAAAAAUAAAUCAGCCCAAAGUCUCCAAAGAUUUUCGGCCCAACAGAUUUAAAACCCAUUUAGAGCCCAAUUUGAAAGAAAACCCUAAAAUAAUUAUAAAAAAAAAUUACAAUUAAAACAAGAAUGAGGAAUUUCUCUCUCUUCCUUCCAACUCAUCGGCUCUAAUCUCUCUCACUCUACACCCCCCCUCUCUCUCUCUCUCUCUCUCUCUCUCUUUCUCAAACGGCGCCUUCCUUCCUUCGUCGUCCCGUCUCCCAUCGCAGCAGGCGGUCAUGGAGGACCGCCGCCACUGUUGCUUCGUUCUCGGCUGUGAACGGCAGCGCUUGGCCUUCGGCCACGCCGCCCGGGAUCCUCUCUCCCCCUUCGCGAUUCCAGUCAGCAGCAGUAGCCCAGGAGGGCCGCUACCCCUGCUGCUUCGGCUCCUGUACCGCCUCGCACCACCGCCGUCGUUCAGUCCGUCCCGCCGUCGCUCAGCCACCGAUCGCUGCCGCCUUGUGCCGUCGUCUUCCCCGGUCGGACAUGCAGCCCCAAAAACGAAAAGGACUCUCCCCCCCUUCGACUCUCAACAACCCAAACCAAGAUAAGUAAAAAGAUUCAGUUUUGAAAUAACAAUCAAAUCUUUGAGUGUUUUUCUGAUUUUAUUAGAAGCAUGAGUCGUUGUGUGUGUAUGCUUGUUCUUGAUUAAUGAGGUGAAAAGGUCCGAUUAUGACAAGAGAUUUUAGACUAGGAAUUUGCAGAUUGGGUUUAAAGAAAUUUAAGCUACUGUGAGUACUAAGUUUUGGAGGUUCUCUAUUUCUUGUUGCGGUCUAGUUCUUGCUGUGGUUUCAUAUGCAUAAAAAAAAAAAAGAAUUCAAGGAAUCGAAUGGACCUUAAAAGUUGGUGAGGUUGGAGAUGGUCCUGUGUGUGUAGGUUUCUUCUUUUAAUGCUCUGUUGGCUUUCUUUGUCUCCCUGCAGGAGUUCGAAAGAAAAUUUUAAAUAAGUUGUGGAAUUUACAGAAGGGAAUAAGAGCUGCAGAUGUGAAGAUUUACCACCUCAAUGAUUGGAAGAAGGCUGGUGGUUGGGGAGCAAAAAGGAGGAAAGGUUUUUAUGGGAGGGUGAAAGUUGACGUGGAGAUGUAAAAGCAUAGGAAUUGUUAUAUAAAAAUUAAUGUGAAUCGAGCCAUAAACGUGGCUUCCUUUGUUUCACAUAAUUCUAAUAUUAAGUGAUCAUUCUCUUGACCAUUCCAUUCCACACGUUCCAACACAAAAAAAAAAAAUCUGAGUUUCUACUUUGGGCCUAAGCCCAAAUAAAAUCUAAAGAAAGGCUUUCACUUAUGGACCUUUAGCCCAAUAAUAAAAAAAAUCUUUGAAAGAAAAGAAGAAAAAUAAUUAUGAGAUGGGUUUACACUAAAAUCAAAAUAAUUAGUAUAUCUCGUAUAAUUAAGUAAUAAUCACACUUGUUGAUCA